UUUAAAUUUCCUUAGAGUUUUUUUCCGCCAAAACAACAUUACGCCAUCUAUUGCACGUCUUGGACUACUUGUCUCUCCGGUCUUCUAUCACUCGCUGGCGUCUCAGAUACUCUCCGAGAAUGUCAAUUCACUUUUAUUGGAUCUACCGAGACGUCUAUUUCUCUUAUCUCUUAUCAUACCCUCAUCUCUUUAUCGUACGGCCA
Molecule: non-coding RNA, 203 nt
Organism: Cinara cedri
Lineage: Eukaryota; Metazoa; Arthropoda; Insecta; Hemiptera; Aphididae
Source: the annotation of a GenBank genome assembly